AUACUUACCUGGCAGGGGAGAUACCAUGAUAAGGAAAGUGUUUUUUCCCAGGGCAAGGUUAGCCAUCACACUCUGGAUGUGAUUUCCUCAAAUGUGGGAAACCCUACUGCAUAAUUUGAGGUAGCAGGACUGCAUUUGCGCUUUCCCCU
This 149-nucleotide small nuclear RNA is filed under the name Dasypus novemcinctus (nine-banded armadillo). RNAcentral's name for it is "U1 spliceosomal RNA (ENSDNOG00000027756.1)". It matches the Rfam family "U1 spliceosomal RNA". Rfam says of the family: U1 is a small nuclear RNA (snRNA) component of the spliceosome (involved in pre-mRNA splicing). Its 5' end forms complementary base pairs with the 5' splice junction, thus defining the 5' donor site of an intron. The record is from RNAcentral. Lineage: Eukaryota; Metazoa; Chordata; Mammalia; Cingulata; Dasypodidae.